This 205-nucleotide long non-coding RNA is filed under the name Salvia miltiorrhiza (redroot sage). Its description in RNAcentral is "long non-coding RNA (SMIL_LNC003448)". The record is from RNAcentral. Lineage: Eukaryota; Viridiplantae; Streptophyta; Magnoliopsida; Lamiales; Lamiaceae.
AUUUCUUGCUUUGAUCUUGAAACAGAAUGUUUUAGCUUCUUUAAAGCUCCUCCUAAUCAUACUCAAGGAUUGCCCAUCAUAGGAGUAAGGUCCUUGUCUGCUGUGAGUGGUUGCCUAUGGUUUUGCAAGGAAGCAUCCGAAUAUGAAGAUGGUUUUGAGCGAUGUGAGCUCACUAUAUGGAUUAUGAAGGAAUAUGGAGUGGACG